UCGGGAAUUUUGGGCAAUGGGCGAAAGCCUGACCCAGCAACGCCGCGUGAGGGAUGAAGUAUUUCGGUAUGUAAACCUCGCAAGAAUGGGAAGAAUAAAUGACGGUACCAUUUAUAAGCUCCGGCUAACUACGUGCCAGCAGCCGCGGUAAUACGUAGGGAGCAAGCGUUGUUCGGAUUUACUGGGCGUAAAGGGCGCGUAGGCGGCGCGUUAAGUCACUUGUGAAAUCUCUGAGCUUAACUCAGAACGGCCAAGUGAUACUGCUGUGCUAGAGUGCGGAAGAGGCAACCGGAAUUCUUGGUGUAGCGGUGAAAUGCGUAGAUAUCAAGAGGAACACCGGAGGCGAAGGCGGGUUGCUGGGCCGGCACUGACGCUGAUGCGCGAAAGCCGGGGGAGCAAACG
RNAcentral lists this ribosomal RNA (402 nucleotides) under uncultured bacterium. Its description in RNAcentral is "bacterial SSU rRNA". It matches the Rfam family "Bacterial small subunit ribosomal RNA", at positions 355 to 774 of the family's 1533-position model. The record is from RNAcentral.